UAUCAAUAAGCGGAGGAAAAGAAACUAACAAGGAUUCCCCUAGUAACGGCGAGUGAAGAGGGAAAAGCCCAAAUUUGUAAUCUGGCUCUUUUUAUAAGGGUCCGAGUUGUAAUUUUGAGAACUGUUUUCUGUGCUGGACCAUGUACAAGUCUGUUGAAAAACAGCAUCAUUGAGGGUGAAAAUCCCGUACAUGAUAUGGACUACCAGGGCAAUAUGAUACAGUCUCUAAGAGUCGAGUUGUUUGGGAAUGCAGCUCAAAGUGGGUGGUAAAUUCCAUCUAAGGCUAAAUAUAGGUGAGAGACCGAUAGCAAACAAGUACCGUGAGGGAAAGAUGAAAAGAACUUUGGAAAGAGAGUUAACAGUACGUGAAAUUGCUAAAAGGGAAACAGUUAAAGUUAGACUUGUUAUUGUUGGAUCAGCUUCUUUAUUGAGGUGUACUCUGAUGAUUAACAGACCAGCAUCAAUUUUUGAGUGUUGGAUAAGGGUUUUGGGAAUGUGGCAGCUUUGGUUGUGUUAUAGACCAUUACUUUGAUACAAUGCUUAGGAUUGAGGAACGCAGUAAGCUUUGUUGCAGAUUUUUUCGGAAAUCUCCUUGCUACGGAUGUUGGUGUAAUAGCUUUAAAUGACCCG
RNAcentral lists this ribosomal RNA (630 nucleotides) under Pucciniastrum minimum. RNAcentral's name for it is "Thekopsora minima partial large subunit ribosomal RNA". It matches the Rfam family "Eukaryotic large subunit ribosomal RNA", at positions 41 to 651 of the family's 3401-position model. Lineage: Eukaryota; Fungi; Basidiomycota; Pucciniomycetes; Pucciniales; Pucciniastraceae. The record is from RNAcentral.